RNAcentral lists this ribosomal RNA (1453 nucleotides) under Mesorhizobium sp. RNAcentral's name for it is "partial 23S ribosomal RNA". It matches the Rfam family "Bacterial large subunit ribosomal RNA", at positions 1 to 1321 of the family's 2925-position model. The record is from RNAcentral. Lineage: Bacteria; Pseudomonadati; Pseudomonadota; Alphaproteobacteria; Hyphomicrobiales; Phyllobacteriaceae.
GAUCAAGUGUCUUAAGGGCAAUUGGUGGAUGCCUUGGCAUGCACAGGCGAUGAAGGACGUGAUACGCUGCGAUAAGCUACGGGGAGGUGCGAAUACCCUUUGAUCCGUAGAUCUCCGAAUGGGGAAACCCACCUAAGGUACUUGGAAAAUCAGAGCAGCAGGGCAACUGACGCGACAAUCCCAAAAGGAUUGAGCGUGGGGCGACGAUCUCUUUGGGAUCGCGCUGUUUUUGCUGCUGUGGUUUCCAAGUAUCGAUAAUAGGUAACUUAUCCUGAAUACAUAGGGAUAAAGUGGCGAACGCGGGGAACUGAAACAUCUAAGUACCCGUAGGAAAGGACAUCAACCGAGACUCCGGAAGUAGUGGCGAGCGAACCCGGACCAGGCCAGCGGCGAUUGAGAGACAAGCGGAACCUUCUGGAAAGUUGGGCCAUAGCGGGUGACAGCCCCGUACGCGUAAUGCGAUCAAUCGUCCUUGAGUAAGGCGGGACACGUGAAAUCCUGUCUGAAAUUGGGAGGACCACCUUCCAAGCCUAAGUACUCGUGCAUGACCGAUAGCGAACUAGUACCGUGAGGGAAAGGUGAAAAGCACCCCGACAAGGGGAGUGAAAGAGUACCUGAAACCGAUUGCCUACAAACAGUGGGAGCCCGUCCUUCAAAUCGCUUGACGAUUUGAAGAACUUUUGAUUUUGCCAUCAAGAGCGCAAGCGCUUUGAUGGGCGGGUGACCACGUACCUUUUGUAUAAUGGGUCAGCGACUUAGUGUGACGAGCAAGCUUAAACCGAUAGGUGUAGGCGCAGCGAAAGCGAGUCUGAACAGGGCGUUCAGUUCGUCGCAUUAGACCCGAAACCGAGUGAUCUAGCCAUGAGCAGGCUGAAGGUAAGGUAACACUUACUGGAGGGCCGAACCCAUAACUGUUGCAAUAGUUCGGGAUGACUUGUGGCUAGGGGUGAAAGGCCAAUCAAACUCGGAAAUAGCUGGUUCUCCGCGAAAUCUAUUUAGGUAGAGCGUCGACCGAAUACCCCAGGGGGUAGAGCACUGGAUGGGCUAGGGGUCCUCACCGGAUUACCAAACCUAACCAAACUCCGAAUACCUGGGAGUACUAGUCGGCAGACACACGGCGGGUGCUAACGUCCGUCGUGAAAAGGGAAACAACCCUGACCUACAGCUAAGGUCCCCAAGUUAUGGCUAAGUGGGAAAGGAUGUGAGGAUCCCAAAACAACCAGGAUGUUGGCUUAGAAGCAGCCAUCAUUUAAAGAAAGCGUAACAGCUCACUGGUCUAAAUAAGGGUCUUUGCGCCGAAAAUGUAACGGGGCUAAAGCCAUACACCGAAGCUUAGGGUUCGUGAGCAAUCACGAGCGGUAGCGGAGCGUUCUGUAAGCCAGUGAAGCCGUACCCGUGAGGGGCGGUGGAGGUAUCAGAAGUGCGAAUGCUGACAUGAGUAACGUAAGGGGAG